CUUUCUUUGCUGGCGACCGGCGCACGGGUGAGUAACACGUAUCCAACCUGCCCUUUACUCGGGGAUAGCCUUUCGAAAGAAAGAUUAAUACCCGAUAGCAUAAUGAUUCCGCAUGGUUUCAUUAUUAAAGGAUUCCGGUAAAGGAUGGGGAUGCGUUCCAUUAGGCUGUUGGUGAGGUAACGGCUCACCAAACCUUCGAUGGAUAGGGGUUCUGAGAGGAAGGUCCCCCACAUUGGAACUGAGACACGGUCCAA
This 254-nucleotide ribosomal RNA is filed under the name uncultured bacterium. RNAcentral describes it as "partial 16S ribosomal RNA". It matches the Rfam family "Bacterial small subunit ribosomal RNA", at positions 79 to 334 of the family's 1533-position model. The record is from RNAcentral.